Molecule: ribosomal RNA, 410 nt
Filed under: Satsuma sp. SPW-2007
Lineage: Eukaryota; Metazoa; Mollusca; Gastropoda; Stylommatophora; Camaenidae
Description: partial 16S ribosomal RNA
Rfam family: Archaeal large subunit ribosomal RNA
Source: RNAcentral
AACCAAAAGAAUCACAUUUUUGGCGAUUUCUGCUCAAUGACUGUUAAAUAGCCGCAGUACUUUGACUGUGCAAAGGUAGCAUAAUAAUUUGGCUUUUAAUUGGAGUCUGGCAUGAAUGAAAAAAUGGGGAGAUGCUAUAUCAGUUAAAUUGAUUUAAUUUAAUAAUAAGGUGAAAAUACCUUUAGUUAUAUAAUAGACGAGAAGACCCUUGAAAUUUGAAGAUAUUAUUUUGUUGGGGCGACAAGGUAGCAUAUUUAACCUACUUUUUUAAUUUGUAUUAAUAUUUAAAGAAAAAUAAAAUUACUCAAGGGAUAACAGCAUAAUUAUAAGUAGUUUGUGACCUCGAUGUUGGAUUAGGAAUAUCUAACCCAGAAGGUUAAGAUAUAGGCUCUGUUCGAGCAUUUUUUCCU